This 395-nucleotide ribosomal RNA is filed under the name uncultured bacterium. RNAcentral's name for it is "bacterial SSU rRNA". It matches the Rfam family "Bacterial small subunit ribosomal RNA", at positions 362 to 774 of the family's 1533-position model. The record is from RNAcentral.
UAUUGUACAAUGGGGGAAACCCUGAUGCAGCGACGCCGCGUGAAGGAAGAAGUAUCUCGGUAUGCAAACUUCUCUCAGCAGGGAAGAAAAUGACGGUACCUGACUAAGAAGCCCCGGCGAACUACGUGCCAGCAGCCGCGGUAAUACGCAGGGGGCAAGCGUUAUCCGGAUUUACUGGGUGUAAAGGGAGCGUAGACGGAAGAGCAAGUCUGAUGUGAAAGGCUGGGGCUUAACCCCAGGACUGCAUUGGAAACUGUUGUUCUAGAGUGCCGGAGAGGUAAGCGGAAUUCCUAGUGUAGCGGUGAAAUGCGUAGAUAUUAGGAGGAACACCAGUGGCGAAGGCGGCUUACUGGACGAUAACUGACGUUGAGGCUCGAAAGCGUGGGGAGCAAACA